This 296-nucleotide unclassified non-coding RNA is filed under the name uncultured fungus. RNAcentral describes it as "sequence contains ITS1". Lineage: Eukaryota; Fungi. The record is from RNAcentral.
GGGGACUACAGGGGUAUCUAAUCCUGUUUGCUCCCCACGCUUUCGUGCCUCAGUGUCAGUGCUGGUCCAGAUGGCCGCCUUCGCCACGGAUGUUCCUCCCGAUCUCUACGCAUUUCACUGCUACACCGGGAAUUCCGCCAUCCUCUACCGCACUCCAGUCCGCCAGUAUCCAAUGCCAUUCCCAGGUUGAGCCCAGGGCUUUCACAUCAGACUUAACGAACCACCUACGCACUCUUUACGCCCAGUAAUUCCGAGUAACGCUUGCACCCUUCGUAUUACCGCGGCUGCUGGCACGC